CUUUGCUGCUUCGCUGACGAGUGGCGGACGGGUGAGUAAUGUCUGGGAAACUGCCUGAUGGAGGGGGAUAACUACUGGAAACGGUGGCUAAUACCGCAUAACGUCGCAAGACCAAAGAGGGGGACCUUCGGGCCUCUUGCCAUCAGAUGUGCCCAGAUGGGAUUAGCUUGUUGGUGAGGUAACGGCUCACCAAGGCGACGAUCCCUAGCUGGUCUGAGAGGAUGACCAGCCACACUGGAACUGAGACACGGUCCAGACUCCUACGGGAGGCAGCAGUGGGGAAUAUUGCACAAUGGGCGCAAGCCUGAUGCAGCCAUGCCGCGUGUAUGAAGAAGGCCUUCGGGUUGUAAAGUACUUUCAGCGGGGAGGAAGGUGUUGUGGUUAAUAACCGCAGCAAUUGACGUUACCCGCAGAAGAAGCACCGGCUAACUCCGUGCCAGCAGCCGCGGUAAUACGGAGGGUGCAAGCGUUAA
RNAcentral lists this ribosomal RNA (473 nucleotides) under Salmonella enterica subsp. enterica serovar Enteritidis. RNAcentral describes it as "bacterial SSU rRNA". It matches the Rfam family "Bacterial small subunit ribosomal RNA", at positions 77 to 543 of the family's 1533-position model. Lineage: Bacteria; Pseudomonadati; Pseudomonadota; Gammaproteobacteria; Enterobacterales; Enterobacteriaceae. The record is from RNAcentral.